Molecule: ribosomal RNA, 729 nt
Filed under: Candidatus Tremblayella phenacoccinincola
Lineage: Bacteria; Pseudomonadati; Pseudomonadota; Betaproteobacteria
Description: bacterial SSU rRNA
Rfam family: Bacterial small subunit ribosomal RNA
Source: RNAcentral
GGGAUAGAAUUCCAGGAGUAGCGGUGAAAUGCGUAGAUAUCUGGAGGAAUACCAAAGGCGAAGGCAGUCCCCUGGUCCGAUACUGACACUGAGGUACGAAAGCGUGGGGAGCAAACAGGAUUAGAUACCCUGGUAGUCCACGCCCUAAACGAUGUCGAUUAGCCAUUGGAAGGACCCCUUUUCCUUUCAGUGACGUAGCUAACGCGUUAAAUCGACCGCCUGGGAAGUACGACCGCAAGGUUAAAACUCAAAGGAAUUGACGGGGACCUGAACAAGCGGUGAAUGAUGUGGAUUAAUUCGAUGCUACGCGAAGAACCUUACCUACCUUUGACAUGGCCAAAGUUCUACCGAGAGGCGGAAGUACUCGUAAGAGGAUUGGCGCACAGGUGCUGCAUGGUUGUCGUCAGUUCGUGUCGUGAGAUGUUGGGUUCAGUCCCGCAACGAACGCAACCCUUAUCUUUAAUUGCUCCUAUUUUAACAGGCACUUUAAAGAAACUGCCAAUGAUAAGUUGGAGGAAGGUGGGGAUCACGUCAAGUCCGCAUGGCCUUUAUAGGUAGGGCUUCACACAUCAUACAAUGGUUAGAACAAAGAGCUGCAAAUUCGUAAGAAGGAGCCAAUCUCACAAACCUAACCUCAGUUCGAAUUGCGGUCUGCAACUCGAGCGCAUGAAGCCGGAAUCGCUAGUAAUCGUGGAUCAGAAUGCCACGGUGAAUACGUUCUUAGGUCUU